UACGUAGGUGGCAAGCGUUGUCCGGAAUUAUUGGGCGUAAAGCGCGCGCAGGCGGUCCUUUAAGUCUGAUGUGAAAGCCCACGGCUCAACCGUGGAGGGUCAUUGGAAACUGGGGGACUUGAGUGCAGGAGAGAAGAGUGGAAUUCCAGGUGUAGCGGUGAAAUGCGUAGAUAUCUGGAGGAAUACCGGUGGCAAAGGCGGCAUCCUGGACCGACAUUGACGCUGAGGAGCGAAAGCUAGGAGAGCAAACGGG
This 253-nucleotide ribosomal RNA is filed under the name uncultured bacterium. RNAcentral describes it as "partial 16S ribosomal RNA". It matches the Rfam family "Bacterial small subunit ribosomal RNA", at positions 524 to 776 of the family's 1533-position model. The record is from RNAcentral.